AGUAGAACCUAACCCUAUACCUCACUGUAAAUUUGUUCAUUUUACGCCAAUUCGAUUUGCGCCAGAUUUUGUAGGAACGGAACUGCGGUGUAAACCGAGGGCUACCUGUAUUUCUAUAUGUGUUAAAAUGAGUUUUGAUGAAAGAUAUGUUAAUAAGCAUAUUUAUAUUUUAUCAGAUAGUCAAGCUCUGCAUGAAAAGCACUUCAUAUUCUUGCUUUAUCUUGAAACUUUGUGAAAUGUCAUCAUCUCAUUGUAGCACUAGCUAUCAGGAACAGAUUCAGCCUAUUUGGAUGCUAAGGCAUAAAGGACAUGAGGAUCAUGAAGUUGCAGAUGGGCUGGCCAAGAAAGGAAAUUCUUGUCCUCUUAUUGGACCUGAACUUGCCAUCAGUAUCAGAUCUGAUGAAUUUGGACAAAUUGUCAGGGAUUAAUUGGCAGCCUCAGCAUCUUUUCCAUUGAAGGCCAUUCCUGGAUUAAGGCAAGCAAAGGCUGUUAUUUUAGGUCCAUCAUUACAAAAAACUAAAGUUUCUUGCAUUACCUAAGAGUCAAGUAAAGAUUGUAAUAGUGUACUGUCAUCACAUCUCUACUUAAUUAGGUUUGCUGAUAGUUCCAAAAAUUAUAGAUGAUGUCAAGGAGGAAAUGAAAUUCUUUUUCAGAUAUUUUAUGAAUGCGAUCUUAUAUGGUUAUAUUUUCUGGCAUUAGAAGAUCUUUUUACAAUCUCAUUAAGAAAUUUAUUGUCUUUUGCAUAUAAAAAUGGAACUUCUUAUGGAAUAAUCUUGUAGAGAAUACAAUAGAUCACUGGAUGGUCAUAGUUCUAGGGCUGUUUAAAGCCUUUCUUUGAACUAUUAGUACCUACUACCAACUACUUACAUACACUAUUUAAAUAAGAUGUUAUAUUAACAUUUGUUUUUUAGAACUAUAAGAACAUGUUGAUUUAUAUAAACUUGAUUUCUAGCAAUAUAAAUUAAAUUCUUCCAGAAAUGCAAGUUUUACAUAAAUGAAAGUUAUUGGGGAGUUAUAUAAGGAUUUUUUUAUAAAUCAAAUUUACAUACAUAAAUAAUUACAUAAUUAUUAUGC
RNAcentral lists this long non-coding RNA (1074 nucleotides) under Androctonus crassicauda. Lineage: Eukaryota; Metazoa; Arthropoda; Arachnida; Scorpiones; Buthidae. The record is from RNAcentral.